CCGACCUUAGCUCAGUUGGAAGAGCACAAGACUGUAAUUGGUCAAUUGGAGUGCCGUUCACACUUCAUCUGGGGUCGCCUGUUCGAACCAGGCAGGUCGGA
Molecule: non-coding RNA, 101 nt
Organism: Gymnopus androsaceus JB14
Lineage: Eukaryota; Fungi; Basidiomycota; Agaricomycetes; Agaricales; Omphalotaceae
Source: the annotation of a GenBank genome assembly